RNAcentral lists this ribosomal RNA (253 nucleotides) under uncultured bacterium. Its description in RNAcentral is "partial 16S ribosomal RNA". It matches the Rfam family "Bacterial small subunit ribosomal RNA", at positions 524 to 776 of the family's 1533-position model. The record is from RNAcentral.
UACGUAGGUGGCAAGCGUUGUCCGGAUUUACUGGGCGUAAAGGGCGUGCAGGCGGUUUGUUUAGUCUAGGGUGAAAGACCCCGGCUCAACUGGGGAGGGUCGUGCGAAACGGGUGAACUAGAGGCCAGUAGGGGGAUGCGGAAUUCCGGGUGUAGUGGUGGAAUGCGUAGAGAUCCGGAGGGACACCAGCGGCGAAGGCGGCAUCCUGGACUGGUCCUGACACUCAGGAGCGAAAGCGUGGGGAGCGAUCCGG